RNAcentral lists this unclassified non-coding RNA (369 nucleotides) under Hevea brasiliensis (rubber tree). Lineage: Eukaryota; Viridiplantae; Streptophyta; Magnoliopsida; Malpighiales; Euphorbiaceae. The record is from RNAcentral.
CAGCUAUGGCGUCGUCAUAGUUGACGCCGAGAAGAGCCACUUCGAGAUGGCUGAGGAGGUCGGCUACGAGGAGAACGACGGCAAGUGCAAGUGCACCACCGGCUGCUCCUGCGCCGGCUGCAACUGCGGCAAGUGAUGAACAAAGCUAUCCUCUGCAACCUGGCCCCACAAUCCAGUGUGUCAUCCGUUAUGCGCCCAUGCGUGCAUAUAUAUGCAUAUGCAUGCAUGCAUGCUAAAUAAUGUUUCGUGUUGCGUAUGUGUGCCAUGUGACUUGCUAUCAUGUGAGUCAUCACCUGCACCUUUGUGUGUCUAUAUGUAUGUACGUGUCCUGUGAUGUGAUGAUGUACCUGUGCUGUCAUAUAUAUGGAG